This 544-nucleotide ribosomal RNA is filed under the name uncultured delta proteobacterium. RNAcentral describes it as "bacterial SSU rRNA". It matches the Rfam family "Bacterial small subunit ribosomal RNA", at positions 1 to 523 of the family's 1533-position model. The record is from RNAcentral. Lineage: Bacteria; Deltaproteobacteria.
AGUCGACUAGAGUUGAUCCUGGCUCAGAACGAACGCUGGCGGCGUGCCUAACACAUGCAAGUCGAGCGAGAAAGCCCGCAAGGGUGAGUAAAGCGGCGCACGGGUGCGUAACACGUGGGUAAUCUGCCCGGAAGUCCGGAAUAACUCGCCGAAAGGCGUGCUAAUGCCGGAUAAGACCACGGGAACUUCGGUUCCUGCGGGAAAAGGUGGCCUCUGUACACAAGCUAUCACUUCCGGAUGAGCCCGCGGCCCAUCAGCUAGUUGGCGGGGUAACGGCCCACCAAGGCUACGACGGGUAGCUGGUCUAAGAGGACGAUCAGCCACACUGGAACUGAGACACGGUCCAGACUCCUACGGGAGGCAGCAGUGGGGAAUCUUGCGCAAUGGGCGAAAGCCUGACGCAGCAACGCCGCGUGUGUGAUGAAGGUCUUCGGAUCGUAAAGCACUGUCGGGAGGGACGAAUAAGGUCGGCGCUAACAUCGCCGGACGAUGACGGUACCUCCAAAGGAAGCACCGGCUAACUCUGUGCCAGCAGCCGCGGUAA